Molecule: transfer RNA, 69 nt
Filed under: Plestiodon elegans
Lineage: Eukaryota; Metazoa; Chordata; Lepidosauria; Squamata; Scincidae
Description: tRNA-Ala
Rfam family: tRNA
About the family: Transfer RNA (tRNA) molecules are approximately 80 nucleotides in length. Their secondary structure includes four short double-helical elements and three loops (D, anti-codon, and T loops). Further hydrogen bonds mediate the characteristic L-shaped molecular structure. tRNAs have two regions of fundamental functional importance: the anti-codon, which is responsible for specific mRNA codon recognition, and the 3' end, to which the tRNAs corresponding amino acid is attached (by aminoacyl-tRNA synthetases). tRNAs cope with the degeneracy of the genetic code in two manners: having more than one tRNA (with a specific anti-codon) for a particular amino acid; and 'wobble' base-pairing, i.e. permitting non-standard base-pairing at the 3rd anti-codon position.
Source: RNAcentral
GAGGCUUUAGCUUAAUUAAAGCGCUUGAGUUGCAUUCAGGGGAUGUAGAUUAGAGUUUUACAGGCCUUC